AGGACGUGAAACCGAUAGGAUGGAAGCAGAUGAAGUUGACGAACGAGUGUCGUAUUCAGGGUUGCAUCUUGUGUGCGGUCUGUUCUUGCGACCGAUGUGGGCUGGCGGCUUUGGUCAAUGCACUGUGUCAAGUUUCGAUGGAGACCCUGCGGAGGGAUAAUCGGUCGUUGCACGAUACGUGGUAUGGCUAAGGCUUAUCGCCGGUCUUGAAGUCAGCGCCUCAUCUGACCCGUCUUGAAACACGGACCAAGGAGUGUAGCGUUUGCGCAAGUCUUAGAGUGUGUCAAAACUUUGAGGCGUAACGAAAGUAAAUGUAGCUUCGAUCUACUGACUUGGGAUACGUUGUCUCGUGUGGACGGCGUUGGACCAUGGUUUUAUCGCGAUCGCUUGCGAUGCGGUGAAAAUAGAGCGUAAACGGUGCGACCCGAAAGAUGGUGAACUAUGCCUGAGCAGGAUGAAGCCGGAGGAAACUCUGGUGGAAGUCCGAAGCGGUUCUGACGUGCAAAUCGAUCGUCUGACUUGGGUAUAGGGGCGAAAGACUAAUCGAACCAUCUAGUAGCUGGUCCC
Molecule: ribosomal RNA, 567 nt
Filed under: Steinernema sp. CP12
Lineage: Eukaryota; Metazoa; Nematoda; Chromadorea; Rhabditida; Steinernematidae
Description: eukaryotic LSU rRNA
Rfam family: Eukaryotic large subunit ribosomal RNA
Source: RNAcentral